This 1488-nucleotide ribosomal RNA is filed under the name Salmonella enterica. RNAcentral describes it as "partial 23S ribosomal RNA". It matches the Rfam family "Bacterial large subunit ribosomal RNA", at positions 673 to 2141 of the family's 2925-position model. The record is from RNAcentral. Lineage: Bacteria; Pseudomonadati; Pseudomonadota; Gammaproteobacteria; Enterobacterales; Enterobacteriaceae.
GAAACCGAGUCUUAACCGGGCGUUAAGUUGCAGGGUAUAGACCCGAAACCCGGUGAUCUAGCCAUGGGCAGGUUGAAGGUUGGGUAACACUAACUGGAGGACCGAACCGACUAAUGUUGAAAAAUUAGCGGAUGACCUGUGGCUGGGGGUGAAAGGCCAAUCAAACCGGGAGAUAGCUGGUUCUCCCCGAAAGCUAUUUAGGUAGCGCCUCGUGAAUUCAUCUCCGGGGGUAGAGCACUGUUUCGGCUAGGGGGCCAUCCCGGCUUACCAACCCGAUGCAAACUGCGAAUACCGGAGAAUGUUAUCACGGGAGACACACGGCGGGUGCUAACGUCCGUCGUGAAGAGGGAAACAACCCAGACCGCCAGCUAAGGUCCCAAAGUCAUGGUUAAGUGGGAAACGAUGUGGGAAGGCCCAGACAGCCAGGAUGUUGGCUUAGAAGCAGCCAUCAUUUAAAGAAAGCGUAAUAGCUCACUGGUCGAGUCGGCCUGCGCGGAAGAUGUAACGGGGCUAAACCAUGCACCGAAGCUGCGGCAGCGACGCUUAUGCGUUGUUGGGUAGGGGAGCGUUCUGUAAGCCUGUGAAGGUGUGUCGUGAGGCAUGCUGGAGGUAUCAGAAGUGCGAAUGCUGACAUAAGUAACGAUAAAGCGGGUGAAAAGCCCGCUCGCCGGAAGACCAAGGGUUCCUGUCCAACGUUAAUCGGGGCAGGGUGAGUCGACCCCUAAGGCGAGGCCGAAAGGCGUAGUCGAUGGGAAACGGGUUAAUAUUCCCGUACUUGGUGUUACUGCGAAGGGGGGACGGAGAAGGCUAUGUUGGCCGGGCGACGGUUGUCCCGGUUUAAGCGUGUAGGUGUGUGUUCCAGGUAAAUCCGGUUCACUUUAACACUGAGGCGUGAUGACGAGGCACUACGGUGCUGAAGUAACAAAUGCCCUGCUUCCAGGAAAAGCCUCUAAGCAUCAGGUAACAUCAAAUCGUACCCCAAACCGACACAGGUGGUCAGGUAGAGAAUACCAAGGCGCUUGAGAGAACUCGGGUGAAGGAACUAGGCAAAAUGGUGCCGUAACUUCGGGAGAAGGCACGCUGACACGUAGGUGAAGUGAUUUACUCAUGGAGCUGAAGUCAGUCGAAGAUACCAGCUGGCUGCAACUGUUUAUUAAAAACACAGCACUGUGCAAACACGAAAGUGGACGUAUACGGUGUGACGCCUGCCCGGUGCCGGAAGGUUAAUUGAUGGGGUCAGCGCAAGCGAAGCUCCUGAUCGAAGCCCCGGUAAACGGCGGCCGUAACUAUAACGGUCCUAAGGUAGCGAAAUUCCUUGUCGGGUAAGUUCCGACCUGCACGAAUGGCGUAAUGAUGGCCAGGCUGUCUCCACCCGAGACUCAGUGAAAUUGAACUCGCUGUGAAGAUGCAGUGUACCCGCGGCAAGACGGAAAGACCCCGUGAACCUUUACUAUAGCUUGACACUGAACAUUGAGCCUUGAUGUGUAG